UGGGGAAUAUUGGGCAAUGGGGGCAACCCUGACCCAGCAACGCCGCGUGAAGGAUGAAGGUUUUCGGAUUGUAAACUUCUUUGAUCGGGGACGAAAAUGACGGUACCCGAGGAACAAGCCACGGCUAACUACGUGCCAGCAGCCGCGGUAAUACGUAGGUGGCAAGCGUUGUCCGGAAUUACUGGGUGUAAAGGGCGUGUAGGCGGGAAGGCAAGUCAGAUGUGAAAUCCCAGGGCUUAACUCUGGAGCUGCAUCUGAAACUGUUUUUCUUGAGUACUGGAGAGGAAAGUGGAAUUCCUAGUGUAGCGGUGAAAUGCGUAGAGAUUAGGAGGAACACCUGUGGCGAAGGCGGCUUUCUGGACAGUAACUGACGCUGAGGCGCGAAAGCGUGGGGAGCAAACAGG
Molecule: ribosomal RNA, 404 nt
Filed under: uncultured prokaryote
Also listed under: 1 other name
Description: bacterial SSU rRNA
Rfam family: Bacterial small subunit ribosomal RNA
Source: RNAcentral